AGGGAAGAUGUUGCCACUGUACGCAGUUGGGAGAAGAAGGACCUGGCACAUGAGGAAGCCAAGUAGUUGGAUCAGCCCUACUUUUUUUGUUUGGUUGUUGCUCAAAGUAAAAAUGCGAGGAAA
This is a long non-coding RNA of Homo sapiens (human), 123 nucleotides long. Ensembl annotates it as HHATL antisense RNA 1. Its record names the gene HHATL-AS1. The record is from Ensembl. NCBI's taxonomy places the organism in Eukaryota, Metazoa, Chordata, Mammalia, Primates, Hominidae.